AGCUUUGUGUGGUGGCAGUAUCAUAGCCAAUGAGGUUUAUCUGAGGUGCGAUUAUUGCUAAUAGAAUUGGAAAGUAACAUUUAACUUUUGUACUUGAAAUGUGAAUAGUUCA
This 112-nucleotide small nuclear RNA is filed under the name Chinchilla lanigera (long-tailed chinchilla). RNAcentral describes it as "U4 spliceosomal RNA (ENSCLAG00000020393.1)". It matches the Rfam family "U4 spliceosomal RNA". Rfam says of the family: U4 small nuclear RNA (U4 snRNA) is a component of the major U2-dependent spliceosome. Lineage: Eukaryota; Metazoa; Chordata; Mammalia; Rodentia; Chinchillidae. The record is from RNAcentral.